AGAUUGAACGCUGGCGGCAUGCUUUACACAUGCAAGUCGAACGGUAACAGGCCGCAAGGUGCUGACGAGUGGCGAACGGGUGAGUAAUGCAUCGGAACGUGCCCAGUCGUGGGGGAUAACGCAGCGAAAGCUGUGCUAAUACCGCAUACGAUCUAUGGAUGAAAGCGGGGGACCGAAAGGCCUCGCGCGAUUGGAGCGGCCGAUGUCAGAUUAGCUAGUUGGUGGGGUAAAGGCCCACCAAGGCGACGAUCUGUAGCUGGUCUGAGAGGACGACCAGCCACACUGGAACUGAGACACGGUCCAGACUCCGUACGGGAGCAGCAGUGGGGAAUUUUGGACAAGUGGGCGACAA
This 352-nucleotide ribosomal RNA is filed under the name uncultured soil bacterium. Its description in RNAcentral is "bacterial SSU rRNA". It matches the Rfam family "Bacterial small subunit ribosomal RNA", at positions 26 to 381 of the family's 1533-position model. The record is from RNAcentral.